AUUGAACGCUGGCGGCAUGCCUUACACAUGCAAGUCGAACGGCAGCGCGGGGCAACCUGGCGGCGAGUGGCGAACGGGUGAGUAACAUAUCGGAACAUACCCUAGAGUGGGGGAUAACGUAGCGAAAGUUACGCUAAUACCGCAUACGCACUAAGGUGGAAAGUGGGGGAUUCGCAAGAACCUCAUGCUCAUGGAGUGGCCGAUAUCUGAUUAGCUAGUUGGUGAGGUAAAGGCUCACCAAGGCGACGAUCAGUAGCUGGUUUGAGAGAACGACCAGCCACACUGGAACUGAGACACGGUCCAGACUCCUACGGAGGCAGCAGUGGGGAAUUUUGGGACAAAUGGGGGGCAACCCUGAUCCAGCAAUGCCGCGUGAGUGAAGAAGGCCUUCGGGUUGU
This 398-nucleotide ribosomal RNA is filed under the name uncultured bacterium. RNAcentral describes it as "bacterial SSU rRNA". It matches the Rfam family "Bacterial small subunit ribosomal RNA", at positions 30 to 426 of the family's 1533-position model. The record is from RNAcentral.